ACCACGGUAUUUUGUGGUAGCUAUCCGCUUCGCGAGAAUAACAUGGUAUUCUUAUAGUUGCCUCGCUUGUCUCAGUAACUCAGUUCCUUCAUUGCUUGCCAAGUCUUGCCAUAUAGUGAAGAAAAGAGGUUUCUUCCUGUACAUUUGUAAGUGCCAGCUAGAGAUUUUGUUAUGUAAUAGAAGAUUAAAUGACUCACCUGUUGUCCAUAACUAUGGCCUCUUGAAAUCUCUUAGUCUGAUCAGCGGUGUAUUGCAUUGCCCCAUAGUUUGCCACCACAACUAAUAGAUCUGUUAUUAUAAACAAAAAAAAAUGUAGGUAAAACCAGUAUUUUUGCAUUCACCAUGAGUUCCAAGUAAUGAAGCUGUUAUAAAGCAUAAGCUAAUUUGAAAUAUACCAAAUUCAACACCGCAAGGCUGUUGUUCAACAUCGAGGAAGGAAAUCGUACUCAGUCUCGACGGAGGAGGUAACAGUGUCUCCUUUUCAUUAUUUUUCGGAAUAGACUCCACAAUAGUAAACCUGUCGACGACCCAUUCAAACUGGACAAUAUGUAGUGAAUAAGGCUAUGGAUUUCUAACCUUGGCAGUUGAAAUCAGAUACGUCUCGAAAAGUUCGUACAAGUUAUCACAUCAUCUAAUGUCGUCACCAUAGAGUAUUACACAAAUUUGUUCCUCCUACAAUGUUAUUUAAAAUGAUAAUGCACUAAUUAUUGGAAGAGUACAAGUGAGAAGAUCUUAUGUUACAGUUAUAAUUGUAACUUGCCUUACGUUUUCAUCCUGCACAAUUAUUGUCUAAAACCGAACUCGCUGAUCUCUGCUCUCUCUCGGCCGAAAUUUGUCUACAGCCUGAACUUUGCAAGUCCAUUCUAUAGUUGACGGUGUAAUUUCAUUGAUGGUACGUCUUUCUUCCAUUUUAUCAAUAUAACUUGUAUAUUAAUAACCGUAAAAUUGCAAGAACAAACCAUCUCACAUUACAAAUAUAAGGCAAAAGAUAUACAUAUAAUACACUUGAAAUAUUUUCCAACAGUUAAGAAUUCCUAGUGAAAGUUGGAUGUGAACUUUUUAAUCACUAUAUUUCAAAGUGCUGGAACUCCCUGCUUCACGUUCUAUAAUCUCUAUUCCUUUGAGGAAACAAAAAUAACUUGUCAAGAUAUACGUCAUACGUCAUAACAGAACAAUUGAAUAUAGCAACUUCAGAGAAGUAACAACUCAACAGUUCACACAUGUUCAUUGUUCAUGAUAAUGAGAUUUACACCAAUGACCCUAACAUCUAGCACAUUUGAGACUGUUCAAACAUGUAUACUACUAUUUAACUGUUUAAGCGUAGAAAUCGGCAAGUUUCUAGCUUCCAAAUAUGACAAAGGAUUAAGGACAUACUUCCCUAUUAGUGAAGAUUUACUCAAUCACCUUUUUUGUAUAAUCCAGUUGAUGGCAUAUCAUUUUGUUGUCAAAUAAAGAAUUUAAAAUACAACAGUAUAUCAGACAUUCUAAUUUCAUAAAGAAAAUGUAGUACACAUAGUCAUAUGAGAAGACAACAUUUACAGCUGUUAAAGUAUUAGGUGUAUAGGUAGUGGAAUGUACAGCUGGAUGCCAACUAGGCUAAGUUAGUGGAAGGUUUAGUUUGUUAAGCAGGUAGUUAGCAGCUAACUUGUUUGUAUAUAUACAUGGCUAGUGUACAGUGUUUGUAACAGAAAAUUAACAGAAAAUGAAGGAACUCUUUCUUCUCCAUUAGCAUGUAACUGCUUCUCCUUCAUUCUCAGCUUAACAACUCAGAUUAGAUCUAGGAUUUCACUAGAGUUCUUGCAUAUAUACUCCACAACAUAAUAGAGUAGCUGAGAGGAGGCACAUGUAUAUUUUGGAAGUGGCUAGGUCACUGAGGUUUCAAUCUUCUGUACCUCUCAAAUUCUGGGGUGAAUGUAUCACCACUGCUGUGCAUAUUAUAAAUAGGCUACCUUCAACAGCCCUUCAAGGCAAGUCUCAUUUUGAAGCGUUAAUUGGUCAUGUUCCUCCUUUGGACCAUAUGGGAGUGUUUGGAUGUCUAGGCUAUGUUACUGAUAUGAGACGAUCAGACAAGUUUGCUCCUAGAGCUGUUCCAGUUGUAUUUCUAGUCUAUUCUAUGACACAAAAGGGUUAAAAAAUGUAUAAUCUUUACUCUAAAGGCUUUACUGUCAGUAGAGAUGUGGUUGUCAAAGAAGAUAUCUUCCCUUUCAAAUAUGCCUCUAGUACUAUCUCCUCUAUAUUUUCUGUGCUGGAUCUCAAUAAUCCUAUUAUUUUCUCUGAGAACAAGUUAACUCCACACCAUGUUGCACCUAAUGUUGCAUCACUAGAUGAUGCAACUCCUCACAAUCACUCAAAGAGUGACUCUUCUGCACUCCAUGAGGAUGCUGUAGAGCCUUUUGUUGAUCUUCCUGCUGAUUCAGUAGUCAUCCCUGCUGAGCCAAUAUCUUCUAUAUUGCCUACUGCUGAACCUGCUGCCAGUAUAAGAUUUAACAGGGACAAUAGACCACCAAUUUAGUUGAAGGAUUAUGUUACUCACAACAAAGGCAAGGCUCAUAAUUAGUUGAUUGCAAAGUCAGGGCUUGGUGGUGCCAAAUUUGCUGGUACACCCUUGGAGACCAGUUCAAAGCUUACUUCUGUUGAGUUUGACAGUUUCAUGAACAAAGACUUUUCUAGUGAAGCUAAUGCAGAGGAUAAAGAACUAGAAAAUGCUGGACCUUAUCAGAGACUGAUUGGCAGACUUUUAUAUAUCACUAUGACUAGAAUUGAUAUCUCAUAUGUAGUGCAGGUGCUCAGCCAGUUUAUGCACAAACCUAAGCAAUCUCAUAUGGAUGCUACUUUAAGAGUAGUUAGAUACAUCAAGACUGCUCCAGGUCUUGGUCUGUUGAUGCCCUCAGAAGGCUCAGGAAGACUUGAAACUUAUUGUGACUCAGACCGGGGUGGAUGUUUGCAAACUAGAAGAUCUAUUACAGGAUAUGUAGUCAAGUCUGGCGAUGCAUUAAUAUCCUGGAAGUCAAAAAAGCAGGAGACAAUUGCUAGAAGCAGAAUUUAGGAGUAUGGCAUCAACAAUUACAGAGUUAACUUGGCUCACAUGACUGUUUUUAGAAUUAGGAGUUGAGUUGCCCCUGCCUAUAGACUUACACUAUGAUAGCAAAGCUGUAAUUCAGAUUACAGCUAAUCCUAUAUUCCAUGAAAGAACCAAACAUAUUGAUAUCGAUUGUCACUUUGUGAGGGAAAAAAUAUGCAAGGAUUGAUCAAGAAUCAUAUUGUACCUACUAAGGAGAAACAAGCUGAUUUACUAACAAAGAGUCUUGGGAAAGUGCAGCACGACUAUCUACUGUCCAAGCUGAAGUUGAAAGACUUGUUUCAACCAUCAGCUUGAGGGAGGGUGUUGAAGUAUAUUAGGUGUAUAGGUAGUGGAAUGUACAACUGGAUGCCAGCUAAGCUAAGUUAGUGGAAAGUUUAGUUUGUUAAGUAGGUAGUUAGUAGCUAACUUGUUUGUAUAUAUACAUGGCUAGUGUACAAUGUUUGUAACAGAAAAUUAACAGAAAAUGAAGGAACUCUUUCUUCUCCAUUAGCAUGUAACUGCUUCUCCUUCAUUCUCAGCUUAACAACUCAGAUUAGAUCUAGGAUUUCAUCAAUAACAUAUUUAUAGUAGAGGGAGGCAGUAUAUAAAGAAGCGAAUAAGU
This 3683-nucleotide long non-coding RNA is filed under the name Nicotiana tabacum (common tobacco). RNAcentral's name for it is "long non-coding RNA (NTAB_LNC017992)". Lineage: Eukaryota; Viridiplantae; Streptophyta; Magnoliopsida; Solanales; Solanaceae. The record is from RNAcentral.